CUGGUUGAUCCUGCCAGUAGUCAUAUGCUUGUCUCAAAGACUAAGCCAUGCAUGUCUAAGUAUAAAUGUUAUACAGUGAAACUGCGAAUGGCUCAUUAAAACAGUUAUAGUUUAUUUGAUAAUCGAAUUUACAUGGAUAACCGUGGUAAUUCUAGAGCUAAUACAUGCUGGUUAGCCUGACUCUUGAGGAAGGGCUGUAUUUAUUAGAUAACAAACCAAUAUUCCCCGUGUCUAUUGUGAUGACUCAUAAUAACUGAUCGAAUCGCAUGGACUUUGUCCGCGAUAAAUCAUUCAAGUUUCUGCCCCAUCAGCUUUCGAUGGUAGUGUAUUGGACUACCAUGGCUUUAACGGGUAACGGAGGAUUAGGGUUCGAUUCCGGAGAGGGAGCCUGAGAAACGGCUACCACAUCUAAGGAAGGCAGCAGGCGCGUAAAUUACCCAAUCCUGACUCAGGGAGGUAGUGACAAGAAAUAACGGACCGAGGCCUAUGCUUCGGGAUUGCAAUGAGUAGAAUUUAAACCCCUUUACGAGGAUCAAUUGGAGGGCAAGUCUGGU
RNAcentral lists this ribosomal RNA (554 nucleotides) under uncultured eukaryote. RNAcentral's name for it is "SSU rRNA". It matches the Rfam family "Eukaryotic small subunit ribosomal RNA", at positions 4 to 565 of the family's 1831-position model. The record is from RNAcentral.